GUGCUAGGCAACAUUGCAAAUAUGGGGCUGGGACGUGCUUUGUGCGCUCGAGCCUCGGGUCCCAGCUGGUGUCCAUGACAUCCAACUUUUGGACCGUAGUUGGAUGGAUCUUCGAGUAAUCGACAAAAUAAUUUCUGCAAUGCCUUAUUUUUUAAUGACAGAUCUGAGCCUUCUUCUUUUUCUCUUUUCUUUGUUUACUUUAUUAUUCUUUGAUUUAA
RNAcentral lists this long non-coding RNA (218 nucleotides) under Elaeis guineensis (African oil palm). RNAcentral's name for it is "long non-coding RNA (EGUI_LNC069859)". The record is from RNAcentral. Lineage: Eukaryota; Viridiplantae; Streptophyta; Magnoliopsida; Arecales; Arecaceae.